RNAcentral lists this transfer RNA (75 nucleotides) under Neogoniolithon spectabile. RNAcentral describes it as "tRNA-Arg". It matches the Rfam family "tRNA". Rfam says of the family: Transfer RNA (tRNA) molecules are approximately 80 nucleotides in length. The record is from RNAcentral. Lineage: Eukaryota; Rhodophyta; Florideophyceae; Corallinales; Spongitidaceae.
UGAGUAUGUAGCUCAGUGGAUAGAGUUUCAGAUUCCGAUUCUGAUAGUCGCUGGUUCGAAUCCAGCCAUACUUGU